Molecule: long non-coding RNA, 728 nt
Organism: Hypanus sabinus (Atlantic stingray)
Lineage: Eukaryota; Metazoa; Chordata; Chondrichthyes; Myliobatiformes; Dasyatidae
Exons: 3
Source: RefSeq, a predicted model, not a curated record
CGGGCAUCGAGCUCCUGCAAUUUGUCCCGGGGUCAGGAGGUAGUUCUUGCCCGGUACGUGCGAUAACUUAAAAGGUAGUGAAGCAGAAUGGGGAGCAGAGAUAAUAAUGUCAAGCUUGCACUCUUAGGGGUUGGAAUGACGCGGCACGGAAAGGAGAAUCCACAAUAAAAGUCACCCGGCUACUCGCCUCCUGCAACUUAGGGGCGACUCCAAUCGAUGAUCUCCGCACUCUCCACUACAAGCUGAAGGUCAUCCCAGCUGCUCCUGAUCCCUAACACGGUCCACAAGGAGCUCCAGCCGGAUGCACUUCACGCAGGUGUAGAUCCUGCAGGACCCCAAUAUCCGGCAUGAAGAACACACAAUGGCCAUUUAAAUUACACUCAGUACCCCUGACACAGUAAGGAAAAAGGGACACGGAACAGAAACUUACCUGUACGACUUACCGGGAGUCAACGCCUCUUCCGAGCUGUAGCCUCCUUUGAGCCAAAGCCUGACUCUCCCACUCCGAAGUAUGGCUGCUCUGCUCUGCCAAACAUUAUGUGGAUUUUCUGGUGUAGUCUGUUUUGUCAUGUACUUUUGCGAUAUCAUUCUGGAGGAACGUUGUCUCAUUUUUUAACUGCAUUGCAUUUGUGGUUUCUAAAUGACAAUAAACUGAAUCUGAAUGUAAACACACAAAAUGCUGGCAGAACUCAGCAGGCCAGACAGCAUCUAUGGGAGGAGGUAGUGAC